ACUAACGCUGGCGGCGUGCCUAACACAUGCAAGUCGAACGAGGGUUCACGUGUAGCAAUACUCGUGAAUUUCUAGUGGCAGACGGGUGAGUAACGCGUAGAUAACGUGCCUUCCAGCUUGGGAUAGCUGGCCGAAAGGCCAGGUAAUACCAAAUGCGCUCGGGUCGGGACAUCUCGAUACGAGGAAAGCAGCAAUGCACUGGAUGAGCGGUCUGCGUCCUAUUAGCUAGUUGGUGGGGUAACAGCCUACCAAGGCGACGAUGGGUAGCCGGUCUGAGAGGAUGAUCGGCCACACUGGCACUGAGAUACGGGCCAGACUCCUACGGGAGGCAGCAGUGAGGGAUUUUGCGCAAUGGGCGAAAGCCUGACGCAGCGACGCCGCGUGAGGGAUGAAGGUCUUCGGAUUGUAAACCUCUGUCAGAGGGGAAGAGUAAGGACGGUACCCUCUGAGGAAGCUUCGGCUAACUACGU
Molecule: ribosomal RNA, 470 nt
Filed under: uncultured bacterium
Lineage: Bacteria
Description: bacterial SSU rRNA
Rfam family: Bacterial small subunit ribosomal RNA
Source: RNAcentral